CGUAGGUGGCAAGCGUUGUCCGGAUUUAUUGGGUUUAAAGGGUGCGUAGGCGGUCAAAUAAGUCAGUUGUGAAAUACGGCAGCUCAACUGUUGAGGUGCAAUUGAUACUGUUUGACUUGAGUAUUGUUGAGGUAGGCGGAAUGGACGGUGUAGCGGUGAAAUGCUUAGAGAUCGUCCAGAACACCGAUAGCGAAGGCAGCUUACUAAAGAAUAACUGACGCUGAGGCACGAAAGUGUGGGGAUCAAACAGGAUUAGAUACCCUGGUAGUCCACACUGUAAACGAUGAUUACUCGAUGUGUGCGAUACACAGCACGCGUCUUAGCAAAAGCGAUAAGUAUCCACCUGGGGAGUACGCGGCAACGGUG
RNAcentral lists this ribosomal RNA (366 nucleotides) under uncultured organism. RNAcentral's name for it is "bacterial SSU rRNA". It matches the Rfam family "Bacterial small subunit ribosomal RNA", at positions 526 to 896 of the family's 1533-position model. The record is from RNAcentral.